RNAcentral lists this microRNA precursor (207 nucleotides) under Oryza glumipatula. Its description in RNAcentral is "MIR812 microRNA precursor family". It matches the Rfam family "MIR812 microRNA precursor family". Lineage: Eukaryota; Viridiplantae; Streptophyta; Magnoliopsida; Poales; Poaceae. The record is from Rfam by way of RNAcentral.
AAUAAGUGCAGCCGUGGAUAUCCGUGCCCAACGUUUGACCGUCUGUCUUAUUUGAAAAAUUUGUGAAAAAUUUGAAAAUAUUUAGUCACACAUAAAAUACUAUUAUGUUUUAUCAUCUAAUAACAACAAAAAUACUAAUCAUAAAAAAUUUUUAAAUAAGACGAACGGUCAAACGUUCAACGUGAAUAGUGCAAAACUGCACUUAUU